AAGGAAAUGAAGCUGGAGAGGAAGCUUUUCGGAGUCCUGGAUGUCAGUGCCCAAAAUGCCCAGUUCUUCCAGGAAAAGCUGCUGAGCCCUGGCCUUCUCAGUCUCACAGCCACUCAAAAAUAUUGCUGUCCCUGUCUGUCCCAGACCCACCUUCAGGGUAUCUGAACCCACUGGGGGACCCCUCUUCUCCUUCCUGGCUGGCCCUGGCUUCCAAUCGAGGACUGACUAUUGAAGUCUGCUACAGGUGUCAUUUGGAACUGUCUUACCAAAUUUUAAAACAGCUGCUAUUUUUCCUGCUCCUCCCCAGGAGAGGGGUCUUCCUAGAGGAGGCGAGGGAAGAGAAUAUCAUGGUGUCUCCUCAGGACCCAUGCACUGGCCCCCUCUCCUCCUUCCAGGUAAUUUUUCAAUGGAAUGUAUCCCAGUAGAGAAGGUAGUCAGCCCUUCUUGGAAGCGGAAGGCUGGGAGCCAAGUCUGCCCACAGCGCUAGAUGUCCAACUCUGGAAGGUUCUUGGAGGCUCUUGUUGUAAGACAGGCCUCUGCCACCUGAUCCUCCAGGUCACCAUCAUGAUGAUAGAGACUCCUUGCCCAUCUGUGACACUUUCCAAUGCAUAUCCAAACUUUACCUUAUUUUAUCUAUGCAACCCCUGCCUCCCUGGGAAGGAUAAGGAAGUAGAGCUGGGUUCACUAAGAAGGAAGUUUAGGCCCUCACAGGCUCUGGAACUUGCCUUAAGCCACACACCAGAUAAGUGGAGGAGCCAGACCAGAAGUCCAGACCCAAAGCUUGAGAUUCUUUCUCUAGAAUGGGUGAGCACAGGUGAUUCAGGCAGCUUAAAUCCAUCAGAGCAGCCCUGCCGGAAAAGGAAAUAAUAUGAUGUUUUUUCCUGCUCUUGUUCUGCCUUGCUCACUCAUUCUCCCUCCGCAGUAUCUGGAAAGAUUCUGGAGACCAGGGCUUAUGCAUCUAGGGAAAGUGACCAAGGGCAGCCUAUCCAGCCUCUGCCUCCAUUCCUGAAGGGGACUUCCCUGCCCCUGUUUCUUUCCAUGUCUCUCCUUCCCUCACUCCCAUUUGCCCCCUUCCACCCCAUCAGGUUAGCCACAUAUCUUCCAGGGCUCAGCUGUUCACACCAACUCCCUGGCUCUUAUCAUCCAUCCCUCCUUCCCCCAGGAGCUUCCACUGUAGGAGUUUCAGGGAGAAGAGUUUGGAAGUCAUUGGACCUUUCAGCCCUCAGGUUCCCUAGAGGAGCCUAGGUGAUCUGUGAGUACCAAUGGUGGGCCAAAGACGCAGGGAAUAAUGAAGGGAGAAAGAAAAGAAAGGAAGAUGGAGGAAAAUGAGGCAAGUGGAAGAAGAAGGAAGGAAAGAAGGAAGGGAGGGAGGGGAUGAAGAGAAGGGAGAGAGGGAUAUAGCUGAGGAAUUUAUCUAAAAAUGUGCAUGUAAAUCUCCAUUAUGUUCCAGGUACUGUGCCUUAUGAUGGCUUUGUUUUUUGUUGUCAUUAGAGACAAGGUCUUGCUUUGUCACCCAGGCUGGAGUAGAGUGGUUCAAUCAUAGCUCACUGCAGCCUCAACCUCCUAGGCUCAAGCCAUCUUCCUGCCUCAGUCUCCCAAAAUGCUGGGAUUACAGGUGUGAGCCACUAUGCUCAGCCUGUUUCAAACAUUAUUAUAAUAGCAGAUUUAUUUAGUACUUUAUUAUACAUCAGAUACCACUCUAAUUGUGAAAUAGAUAUAUAUUCAUUUAAUUAUCGAAACCACCAUGUAGUUAAAACACUAUUAACUCAUUUUACAGUUGAGUAGACUGAGACACAGAGAAGUUAAAGAACUUGCCCAAGAGUAAAUGUCUAAUAAACCGUAGAGCCAGGAUCUGGGCCCAGGCUGUCUGACUCCAGAACUUGCUCACUCAACCACUAAACCAUCCUGCUUCUCAUGGGAAACAAACACAUCCUGCCUUUGAGGAUCCUACAGCCUGUGACAAAAACAGUCAUAAAAAUGGACAAUUGCCUUAUUACACAAGGAGCUCUCAAGUGGCAAUAUAAGCAAUGGAAGUGGCUGUCCAGAGGAGGGAAUUUCUAGUCCUAGGUCUUUAAGGAUGAAUAGGAGUUUGCCAGAGUGAGAAAGGGAAUUGAAGUUUCCUGGGAGGGGCCUGUUAAAAAGCAAUGAGAUACGGCCAGGCCUGGCUUGUUUGGGGAAGAGUCAAAAUCUAGGGUGGCAAGAGUAUGGGAAGCACACUGAGGAGCAGAGAGAAAUGGGGUAGGUAGGAAGGUAGGGUUUUGACCGCAAAGAGCUGUGCAUGCUAAACUGGGCCACAGGUGCCAGCAGGGUUGUUUGAGGAAGGGAAGAGCAAGACAAGCUCUGGUUUAGGAAGAGAGCUGUGGCAGCAUAAAGGCCUGAAAGAGGAGACAGAGCUGUCACCCAAAAUGGACUUGAGAGCUCCCUGUGGUUACUCUGUGGCUAGAAAACACUGCCGGCCAGAUGGAUCACAAAUGUCUAUGGUAGCUUAGAAGCUCUGCUCUUGAAGAGGAUCCUGGGAUCUGCCCAACACCCUUCCUAACCUCCAUUUCCCCAUCCCCACCUCCAUUGCCCCAUCCCCCAUCUCCCCCUAGGCAGGUGGAUCUGAGCCUUAUCCCACCACCAAUGCCCGUGCUAGCCUCUCCCCACCCAGCCCAGAGCCUACUCAGCCUGCCAUCUCAAGAGCCCCACCGAGGGUCACUGGCUUCCUGGGAGGAGUCACCAGGCUGCCAGCUUUCCCUCUGCCUCCCCAAGGAACCUGAGACCUCCCUCUGCUCAUCACCCUGGGCCCAAUCCUGAAUCCAGCACCCAUCAACCAAGACAGCAAAAGGGCCAGGUCUGUCCCUUAUAAUUUUGAGCCCUCAAGUUUGGAAGCCCUGACUUUAAGAAAUGCCAAAUGCAAGGACCAUUAAGAAAAUUCUCCCCGAAAUGAGGCUCCUCUAACAAAUGAUGAUUAAAACUCUCUCUCCUUGAGCAGUCACAUUCUAGAAACAGGACAUUCCAUGAGGCAGGAAGAGUUCAGUUAAUUUGCUCCUGAAAAAGUGUGGUUCAGUGUUUGUGUGGCAAUGUACGUGGGCAGAAGAGGCCGCUCAAGCUGUGUCCCCCCUGAGCAGGAUUCAGGAAAGGGAAAAGAAGGUCUCUUUGACUCAACCAAGGGGCCGUACGAUGGCCGAUGAGAUUAUGUAUUUAAAAGUUCUUUGUAAAGUGUAAACUAAAAACCUUAAAUGUAAGAUGCUGUUGUUAUUAUUACUGUUGUUGUUGCUGUUAUGGACAUGCCAAAAGGCCCUUGUUAGAAGACAGUUUUGCCUUUUCAAUCUCAUAGCAAGGAACUCAAGUCUGAUGCUUCAAAAAGAUGAGAAGAAGGGCAAGAAGAGGGAGAACUCCCAAGCUCAGAGGGAAAAAAAAGGGGGGGGGUGGGGAAGAGCCCCAGGGUGACCUUCAGGAAAGGCCAGGACCAGGAUGAUCUAAACUUUCCCUUCACCAGAGACAAGGCUAUUGUCAGACUGAACCCUAAGGUCAAGCAGUCACCCACUGCCUUUGCUGGGAGCAGAAGCCCAUAGCAACAAGUGAUCUGCCCCUCAGACUCAAGAUCCCAGAUAUCAGCUGGAGGAGUCGUAGGGCAUUACUGGUAGGCAGGAAAACUGAGGGUCGAACAAAUGGAAGAAUGCGGUGAUCAUAGACCAAAGACACACAGAUAAUUAACCCCAUGUGUCCACCCAGGCCAAAGUUCUUCCUGCUACCCCACAGUGGAUGUCCAGGCAGAUGGUCCCCACAUGAUGGGGAAGCUGAGGGCAUAGUGUGGUUUGGUGGGACUUGUUCAUGUUUUGUAGUGUGGGCUCAACAGUGCCAAAGGAAACACUAGGGAAAAGUUGGUGAAACAUGCCAGAUAGCAGGACCAGUAAAGGCAUAAUCAGGCAUUUGGCAAAGCUUGCUUUUCUAAUUCAAUGAUAGGUUCUAAUAGGAAAUUUUUAAAGACUUUUUAAAACAAUGUUAUAGUGCCACUUCCCCAGUAUGGAAUAAAUAACAUGCAUUCUUUUUUCAAUAUACUGUCAUAUUCGGAUGUCAUUAAAAUAAAUGGA
This 4076-nucleotide long non-coding RNA is filed under the name Pan troglodytes (chimpanzee). RNAcentral's name for it is "long non-coding RNA NONPTRT014335". The record is from RNAcentral. Lineage: Eukaryota; Metazoa; Chordata; Mammalia; Primates; Hominidae.